ACGAAGGGGGCUAGCGUUGUUCGGAAUUACUGGGCGUAAAGCGCACGUAGGCGGCCUGUUAAGCUGGAUGUGAAAGCCCCGGGCUCAACCUGGGAAUGGCCUCCAGAACUGGCAGGCUAGAGUACAGUAGAGGGUGGUGGAAUUUCCGGUGUAGCGGUGAAAUGCGUAGAUAUCGGAAGGAACAUCAGUGGCGAAGGCGACACCCUGGACCGAUACUGACACUGAGGCGCGAAAGCGUGGGUAGCGAACAGGA
RNAcentral lists this ribosomal RNA (253 nucleotides) under uncultured prokaryote. Its description in RNAcentral is "partial 16S ribosomal RNA". It matches the Rfam family "Bacterial small subunit ribosomal RNA", at positions 525 to 777 of the family's 1533-position model. The record is from RNAcentral.